GCUGGGACAGCCGAGUCAGAAGAGCGUGAGACUCUUAAUCUCAAGGUUGCGGGUUUGAGCCCCAUGUUGGGCA
Molecule: non-coding RNA, 73 nt
Organism: Podarcis lilfordi (Lilford's wall lizard)
Lineage: Eukaryota; Metazoa; Chordata; Lepidosauria; Squamata; Lacertidae
Source: the annotation of a GenBank genome assembly